RNAcentral lists this long non-coding RNA (974 nucleotides) under Homo sapiens (human). Its description in RNAcentral is "HSALNT0381088". The record is from RNAcentral. Lineage: Eukaryota; Metazoa; Chordata; Mammalia; Primates; Hominidae.
ACCUUUUUGUGUUCCUUGAGCUCAGUCAGGAAGGGCCCUCAUGACUGGGCCUCAUGCCAAAAAACUAGUUACAAAGAAGCUAGAGUUCCAGACUGCGCCUAAGCUUCAUGAGACCUCUCCUCGUCUGCACAGACGAGUGGCCAACACUGGAGCCCAGGCUAUUGCUUCCCAGUCUGGUGGUGAAUCGUCCAUAGUCUGGCUGGAGUGCAGCGGUGCAAUCUUGGCUCACUGCAACCUCCACCUCCUGGGUUCAAGCAAUUCUCAGCCUCCCGAGUAGCUGGGAUUACAGGGACAGGCAGGGGAGCCCAGCGGCAUGCUGGAUAUGAAUGUAUCUUCAGCCUUCAAGUUACCAUUGGCCAGAGGGAAGAGUGGCCCCAAACUCUGAAGAGCGCUGGCAAGGCUCCCCAUCUUCCUCUCCCUAGCCUCCACAGGAACAUCACAGUAUGGCUUGGCAUUUUUUUUUUUUUUUUGAGACGGAGUCUCACUCUGUCACCCAGGCUGGAGUGCAGUGGUGUGAUCUCAGCUCACUGCAAGCUCUGCCUCCCGGGUUCAUGCCAUUCUCCUGCCUCAGCCUCCCGAGUAACUGGGACUACAGGCGCCCGCCACCACGCCCAGCUAAUUUUUUGUAUUUUUAGUAGAGACGGGGUUUCACUGUGUUAGCCAGGAUGGUCUCAAUCUCCUGACCUUGUGAUCUGCCCGCCUCAGCCUCCCAAAGUGCUGGGAUGACAGGCGUGAGCCACGCGCCCAGCCUGGCUUGGCAUCUUUAGGGCAGAUCUCAGUAUGCCUUGCAUUCCAAUUCAUCUCCAGAAUCCUACACUUCCUCCAAGGUCAGUCCUCAUGCGAGUCUCCAACCUCAUCCCCACUUCAUUUUCCUCAUUGUACUUACCAUCUUUUAUUCGUAUCCCACCAAAUUUUGGCUUUGUUAGCUAUACUGCAAAUAGUAGAUGCUCAAUAAACUACUAGUGAAUGAAUGA